This 72-nucleotide transfer RNA is filed under the name Ovis aries (sheep). It matches the Rfam family "tRNA". From Rfam's summary of the family: Transfer RNA (tRNA) molecules are approximately 80 nucleotides in length. Their secondary structure includes four short double-helical elements and three loops (D, anti-codon, and T loops). The record is from Rfam by way of RNAcentral. Lineage: Eukaryota; Metazoa; Chordata; Mammalia; Artiodactyla; Bovidae.
UCCCUGGUAGCUCAGCUGGUAGUGAAUCUGCCUGCAAUGCAGGAGACCCUGGUUCGAUUCCUGGGUGGGGAA